ACACUGGAACUGAGACACGGUCCAGACUCCUACGGGAGGCAGCAGUGGGGAAUUUUGGACAAUGGGCGCAAGCCUGAUCCAGCAAUACCGCGUGAAGGAUGACGGCCCUUGGGUUGUAAACUUCUUUUAUAUGUGAAGAUUAUGACGGUAACAUAUGAAUAAGCAUCGGCUAACUACGUGCCAGCAGCCGCGGUAAUACGUAGGAUGCAAGCGUUAUCCGGAAUUAUUGGGCGUAAAGAGUGUGUAGGUGGCGUGUUAAGUUAAAUGUUAAAUCCCGGGGCUCAACUCAGGGGCUGCAUUUAAUACUGGCAUGCUUGAGGUAUGGAGAGGUAAGCGGAAUUAGUAGUGUAGCAGUGAAAUGCGUAGAUAUUACUAGGAACACCAAUGGCGAAGGCAGCUUACUGGCCAUAUUCUGACGCUGAGACACGAAAGCGUGGGGAGCGAACGGGAUUAGAUACCCCGGUAGUCCACGCCGUAAACGAUG
This 484-nucleotide ribosomal RNA is filed under the name uncultured bacterium. RNAcentral describes it as "bacterial SSU rRNA". It matches the Rfam family "Bacterial small subunit ribosomal RNA", at positions 310 to 811 of the family's 1533-position model. The record is from RNAcentral.